GGGGAUUUGGCUCAGUGGUAGAGCGCUUGCCUAGGAAGCGCAAGGUCCUGGGUUCGGUCCCCAGCCCCCCCA
RNAcentral lists this transfer RNA (72 nucleotides) under Rattus norvegicus (Norway rat). It matches the Rfam family "tRNA". Rfam says of the family: Transfer RNA (tRNA) molecules are approximately 80 nucleotides in length. Their secondary structure includes four short double-helical elements and three loops (D, anti-codon, and T loops). Lineage: Eukaryota; Metazoa; Chordata; Mammalia; Rodentia; Muridae. The record is from Rfam by way of RNAcentral.